RNAcentral lists this ribosomal RNA (367 nucleotides) under uncultured organism. Its description in RNAcentral is "bacterial LSU rRNA". It matches the Rfam family "Bacterial large subunit ribosomal RNA", at positions 2099 to 2465 of the family's 2925-position model. The record is from RNAcentral.
CUUUACUGUAGCCUGGUAUUGGGUUCGGGCUUUGACUACGCAGGAUAGGUGGGAGGCUUUGAUCCAUUGCUUGUGGGUGAUGGUGAGCCAACGGUGAGAUACCACUCUUUCAGAGCUAGGGUUCUAACGGUCACCCGUCAUCCGGGGACCGGACAGUAUCAGGUGGGCAGUUUGACUGGGGCGGUCGCCUCCUAAAAGGUAACGGAGGCGCGCAAAGGUUUGCUCAGGCUGGUUGGAAAUCAGCCGACGAGUGUAAAAGCAGAAGCAAGCUUGACUGUGAGACCUACAAGUCGAACAGGGACGAAAGUCGGCUUUAGUGAUCCGACGGUUCUGAGUGGAAGGGCCGUCGCUCAACGGAUAAAAGUUA